GAUAAGGCUUUUCUAAAAGCCCUCAACAUGAAGGGAAAUACAAUUU
Oryctolagus cuniculus (rabbit) is the source of this 46-nucleotide non-coding RNA. The record is from Rfam. Lineage: Eukaryota; Metazoa; Chordata; Mammalia; Lagomorpha; Leporidae.